GCCUGGGUGGCUCAGUGGUUGAGUGUCAGCCUUUGGCUCGGGUCGCGAUCCUGGGGUCCUGGGAUCGAGUCCCACCUCAGGCU
This 83-nucleotide transfer RNA is filed under the name Canis lupus familiaris (dog). It matches the Rfam family "tRNA". From Rfam's summary of the family: Transfer RNA (tRNA) molecules are approximately 80 nucleotides in length. Their secondary structure includes four short double-helical elements and three loops (D, anti-codon, and T loops). The record is from Rfam by way of RNAcentral. Lineage: Eukaryota; Metazoa; Chordata; Mammalia; Carnivora; Canidae. RNAcentral also lists the same sequence under 1 other name.